This 263-nucleotide ribosomal RNA is filed under the name uncultured bacterium. Its description in RNAcentral is "partial 16S ribosomal RNA". It matches the Rfam family "Bacterial small subunit ribosomal RNA", at positions 793 to 1055 of the family's 1533-position model. The record is from RNAcentral.
GUCCACGCCGUAAACGAUGAUAACUAGUUGUUCGGGCACUUGGUGCCUGAGUGACGCAGCUAACGCAUUAAGUUAUCCGCCUGGGGAGUACGGUCGCAAGAUUAAAACUCAAAGGAAUUGACGGGGGCCUGCACAAGCGGUGGAGCAUGUGGUUUAAUUCGAAGCAACGCGCAGAACCUUACCAGCCUUUGACAUCCCGCGCUACCUGGAGAGAUUCAGGGUUCCUUUCGGGGACGCGGUGACAGGUGCUGCAUGGCUGUCGU